UAAGCAUAUCAAUAAGCGGAGGAAAAGAAACCAACAGGGAUUGCCCUAGUAACGGCGAGUGAAGCGGCAACAGCUCAAAUUUGAAAUCUGGCCUCGGCCCGAGUUGUAAUUUGCAGAGGAAGCUUUAGGCGCGGCACCUUCUGAGUCCCCUGGAACGGGGCGCCAUAGAGGGUGAGAGCCCCGUAUAGUUGGAUGCCUAGCCUGUGUAAAGCUCCUUCGACGAGUCGAGUAGUUUGGGAAUGCUGCUCAAAAUGGGAGGUAAAUUUCUUCUAAAGCUAAAUACCGGCCAGAGACCGAUAGCGCACAAGUAGAGUGAUCGAAAGAUGAAAAGCACUUUGAAAAGAGGGUUAAAUAGCACGUGAAAUUGUUGAAAGGGAAGCGCUUGUGACCAGACUUGCGCCGGGCUGAUCAUCCGGUGUUCUCACCGGUGCACUCUGCCCGGCUCAGGCCAGCAUCGGUUCUCGCGGGGGGAUAAAGGCCCAGGGAACGUAGCUCCUCCGGGAGUGUUAUAGCCCUGGGCGUAAUGCCCUCGCGGGGACCGAGGUUCGCGCAUCUGCAAGGAUGCUGGCGUAAUGGUCACCAGCGACCCGUCUUGAAACACGGACCAAGGAGUCAAGGUUUUGCGCGAGUGUUUGGGUGUAAAACCCGCACGCGUAAUGAAAGUGAACGUAGGUGAGAGCUUCGGCGCAUCAUCGACCGAUCCUGAUGUUUUCGGAUGGAUUUGAGUAGGAGCGUUAAGCCUUGGACCCGAAAGAUGGUGAACUAUGCUUGGAUAGGGUGAAGCCAGAGGAAACUCUGGUGGAGGCUCGCAGCGGUUCUGACGUGCAAAUCGAUCGUCAAAUCUGAGCAUGGGGGCGAAAGACUAAUCGAACCAUCUAGUAGCUGGUUACCGCCGA
Molecule: ribosomal RNA, 896 nt
Filed under: Arcopilus fusiformis
Lineage: Eukaryota; Fungi; Ascomycota; Sordariomycetes; Sordariales; Chaetomiaceae
Description: LSU rRNA
Rfam family: Eukaryotic large subunit ribosomal RNA
Source: RNAcentral